GAUGAAGAACGUAGCGAAAUGCGAUAAGUAAUGUGAAUUGCAGAAUUCAGUGAAUCAUCGAAUCUUUGAACGCACCUUGCACCCUUUGGUAUUCCGAAGGGUAUGCUCGUUUGAGUGUCAUUGUACUCUCACACUUCUAAUUCCUUUCGGGAUUGGGAGCGGUGGACUUGGGUGUUGCUGCUUUAGUUGUGGCUCACCUCAAAUAAGUUAGUGCAACUCUUGGUUGGACAUAGUACGCCGUGAUAAGUGUCUUCGCCGGCGCCUCUGUAAGGAGGGUGGCCGAUCGGGAGCUCUGUGCUUCAAACCGUCUUCGGACAAUCUUUGACAACUUGACCUCAAAUCGAGUAGGACUACCCGCUGAACUUAAGCAUAUCAAUAAGCGGAGGA
This 387-nucleotide unclassified non-coding RNA is filed under the name soil metagenome. Its description in RNAcentral is "partial contains 5.8S ribosomal RNA, internal transcribed spacer 2, and large subunit ribosomal RNA". The stretch from base 1 to 120 matches the Rfam family "5.8S ribosomal RNA", at positions 35 to 154 of the family's 154-position model. The record is from RNAcentral.